CGGCAUGCUUUACACAUGCAAGUCGAACGGCAGCGGGGGCUUCGGCCUGCCGGCGAGUGGCGAACGGGUGAGUAAUGCAUCGGAACGUGCCCAAGUCGUGGGGGAUAACUACGCGAAAGCGUGGCUAAUACCGCAUACGUCCUGAGGGAGAAAGCGGGGGAUCUUCGGACCUCGCGCGAUUGGAGCGGCCGAUGUCGGAUUAGCUAGUUGGUGAGGUAAAGGCUCACCAAGGCGACGAUCCGUAACGGGUCUGAAAGGAUGAUCCGCCACACUGGGACUGAGACACGGCCCAAACUCCUACGGGAGGCAGCAGUGGGGAAUUUUGGACAAUGGGGGCAACCCUG
This 344-nucleotide ribosomal RNA is filed under the name uncultured bacterium. RNAcentral describes it as "bacterial SSU rRNA". It matches the Rfam family "Bacterial small subunit ribosomal RNA", at positions 40 to 385 of the family's 1533-position model. The record is from RNAcentral.